RNAcentral lists this long non-coding RNA (463 nucleotides) under Cyanistes caeruleus (blue tit). RNAcentral describes it as "lncRNA (ENSCCEG00000013184.1)". Lineage: Eukaryota; Metazoa; Chordata; Aves; Passeriformes; Paridae. The record is from RNAcentral.
GUAUAUAAGAGAAGCUACCAUCAGCCAGCAAGCAACAAGCUGAGAUUUUGACACUUCACAAAGAUACAUGCCAGAACAUAAAAUGAAGCCACUGAGGGAUAAGAAAAAGGAACAAUUGCCAAAUCACAAUUCAAUUAAAAGUUUCUGGGAGAUUUAUGACACUGCCAUAAAUGCCAGUGGAACUGCCUGAGCUGCAGCAGGUCAUCCAGCUGAACCAGUGAGGAGGUGAGGAAAGCAGCAAUAAUCAUGAUAACUCUGUCCUACCAUCUUCAUCUGGGCAUGUGUAACAUAUAUCAAGUCAAGGCAUCAUUUGUGGCUUGAGAAGGAAAAUCAAAAGUGAAUAUUUAGAAUAUAAAUACUUUAUUGCAGUCCAGCUCCUGAAGUUUGAAUGACAGGUUUUCUAAUGAUUCUAGUACCUGGAAAAAGAAAAUAAAGCCUACCUCUGAGGUCCUUGGAUUGAACA